RNAcentral lists this ribosomal RNA (468 nucleotides) under uncultured bacterium. Its description in RNAcentral is "partial 16S ribosomal RNA". It matches the Rfam family "Bacterial small subunit ribosomal RNA", at positions 28 to 507 of the family's 1533-position model. The record is from RNAcentral.
GACGAACGCUGGCGGCGUGCUUAACACAUGCAAGUCGAACGGAAAGGCCCUGCUUUUGUGGGGUGCUCGAGUGGCGAACGGGUGAGUAACACGUGAGUAACCUGCCCUUGACUUUGGGAUAACUUCAGGAAACUGGGGCUAAUACCGGAUAGGAGCUCCUGCUGCAUGGUGGGGGUUGGAAAGUUUCGGCGGUGGGGGAUGGACUCGCGGCUUAUCAGCUUGUUGGUGGGGUAGUGGCUUACCAAGGCUUUGACGGGUAGCCGGCCUGAGAGGGUGACCGGCCACAUUGGGACUGCGGUACGGCCCAGACUCCUACGGGAGGCAGCAGUGGGGAAUAUUGCACAAUGGGCGGAAGCCUGAUGCAGCAACGCCGCGUGCGGGAUGACGGCCUUCGGGUUGUAAACCGCUUUCGCCUGUGACGAAGCGUGAGUGACGGUAAUGGGUAAAGAAGCACCGGCUAACUACGUG